Molecule: ribosomal RNA, 468 nt
Filed under: uncultured bacterium
Lineage: Bacteria
Description: partial 16S ribosomal RNA
Rfam family: Bacterial small subunit ribosomal RNA
Source: RNAcentral
GACGAACGCUGGCGGCGUGCUUAACACAUGCAAGUCGAACGGAAAGGCCCUGCUUUUGUGGGGUGCUCGAGUGGCGAACGGGUGAGUAACACGUGAGAAACCUGCCCUUGACUUUGGGAUAACUUCAGGAAACUGGGGCUAAUACCGGAUAGGAGCUCCUGCCGCAUGGUGGGGGUUGGAAAGUUUCGGCGGUUGGGGAUGGACUCGCGGCUUAUCAGCUUGUUGGUGGGGUAGUGGCUUACCAAGGCUUUGACGGGUAGCCGGCCUGAGAGGGUGACCGGCCACAUUGGGACUGAGAUACGGCCCAGACUCCUACGGGAGGCAGCAGUGGGGAAUAUUGCACAAUGGGCGGAAGCCUGAUGCAGCAACGCCGCGUGCGGGAUGACGGCCUUCGGGUUGUAAACCGCUUUCGCCUGUGACGAAGCGUGAGUGACGGUAAUGGGUAAAGAAGCACCGGCUAACUACGUG